RNAcentral lists this ribosomal RNA (486 nucleotides) under uncultured bacterium. Its description in RNAcentral is "partial 16S ribosomal RNA". It matches the Rfam family "Bacterial small subunit ribosomal RNA", at positions 30 to 507 of the family's 1533-position model. The record is from RNAcentral.
AUUGAACGCUGGCGGCAUGCCUUACACAUGCAAGUCGAACGGCAGCACGGGUGCUUGCUCCUGGUGGCGAGUGGCGAACGGGUGAGUAAUACAUCGGAACAUGUCCUGUAGUGGGGGAUAGACCGGCGAAAGCCGGAUUAAUACCGCAUACGAUCCACGGAUGAAAGCGAGGGACCUUCGGGCCUCGCGCUAUAGGGUUGGCCGAUGGCGGAUUAGCUAGUUGGUGGGGUAAAGGCCUACCAAGGCGACGAUCAGUAGCUGGUCUGAGAGGACGACCAGCCACACUAGGACUGAGACACGGCCCAGACUCCUACGGGAGGCAGCAGUGGGGAAUUUUGGACAAUGGGCGAAAGCCUGAUCCAGCAAUGCCGCGUGUGUGAAGAAGGACUUCGGGUUGUAAAGCACUUUUGUGCGGAAAGAAAUCCUUGACUCUAAUACAGUCGGGGGAUGACGGUACCGGAAGAAUAAGCACCGGCUAACUACGUG